This 301-nucleotide ribosomal RNA is filed under the name uncultured bacterium. RNAcentral's name for it is "partial 16S ribosomal RNA". It matches the Rfam family "Bacterial small subunit ribosomal RNA", at positions 509 to 807 of the family's 1533-position model. The record is from RNAcentral.
CAGUAGCCGCGGGAAUACGGAGGGGGCUAGCGUUGUUCGGAAUUACUGGGCGUAAAGCACACGUAGGCGGCUUGGUAAGUUAGAGGUGAAAGCCUGGAGCUCAACUCCAGAAUUGCCUUUAAGACUGCCGAGCUAGCAGGUGAGAGAGGUAAGUGGAAUUCCGAGUGUAGAGGUGAAAUUCGUAGAUAUUCGGAAGAACACCAGUGGCGAAGGCGGCUUACUGGCUCAUACUGGACGCUGAGGUGCGAAAGCGUGGGGAGCGAACAGGAUUAGAUACCCCUGUAGUCCCUGUCUCUUAUAC